AACGCACCUUGCGCUCCUUGGUAUUCCGAGGAGCAUGCCUGUUUGAGUGUCGUGAAGUCUUCAACUUUGUCUCGCUUUGAAAAUUGCGAGGCGAGGCUUGGAUUUGGGGGUUGUUGGCCUCUUGCCUCCCUUGCCGGGGGCUUGAGGGGGGUCGACUCCUCUGGAAUGCAUUAGCUCGAGGUUGGCUUCGGGCGGUCCGUGGCGUGAUAGGUUUUUGUUACGUCUCGAUAAUUCCGUCUCGGAGCCGUGUGGCUUCGGCUUCGAAUCGUCCCUCUUGGGGGACUGACUCCAUCUUGAAUCUGACCUCAAAUCAGGCAGGACUACCCGCUGAACUUAA
This 337-nucleotide ribosomal RNA is filed under the name uncultured fungus. Its description in RNAcentral is "eukaryotic LSU rRNA". The stretch from base 1 to 52 matches the Rfam family "5.8S ribosomal RNA", at positions 103 to 154 of the family's 154-position model. Lineage: Eukaryota; Fungi. The record is from RNAcentral.